UACGUAGGGAGCAAGCGUUGUCCGGAAUCAUUGGGCGUAAAGCGCGCGUAGGUGGCUUCGUAAGUCCGUUGUGAAAGUCAAAGGCUCAACCUUUGAAAGCCGAUGGAUACUGCGGAGCUAGAGUACGGAAGAGGCGAGUGGAAUUCCUGGUGUAGCGGUGGAAUGCACAGAUAUCAGGAGGAACACCAAUAGCGAAGGCAGCUCGCUGGGACGUUACUGACACUGAGGCGCGAAAGCGUGGGGAGCGAACAGG
This 253-nucleotide ribosomal RNA is filed under the name uncultured bacterium. Its description in RNAcentral is "partial 16S ribosomal RNA". It matches the Rfam family "Bacterial small subunit ribosomal RNA", at positions 524 to 776 of the family's 1533-position model. The record is from RNAcentral.